Chelonoidis abingdonii (Abingdon island giant tortoise) is the source of this 92-nucleotide non-coding RNA. The record is from RefSeq and is a predicted model, not a curated record. NCBI's taxonomy places the organism in Eukaryota, Metazoa, Chordata, Testudines, Testudinidae.
AAAUGCCGCCUCCCCAAAUCCUGGUGCCCUAGGCGACCACCUAGGGACGCCUAAUGGAACCGCCGGCCCUGCUCAUCUGCAUACUUUUAUAC